AUGGGUAGGGUUGCGAUCUGGAUCGCGUGCGUGCUGCUCCUGGCGGCGACAUGCCAGGGCAAGGGGGCUCCGGGGCAUAGGGUGAGGGUCGGCUACUACAACCGGAAGUGCCGCGCGGCGGAGAGCAUCGUCAGGGACGUCGUCGGCAAGGCCGUCUCCCGGAACCCCGGCCUCGGCGCCGGCAUCAUCCGCAUGGCCUUCCACGACUGCUUCGUCCAGGGCUGUGACGCGUCGGUGCUGCUGGACGCGACUCCGGCGAACCCGCGGCCGGAGAAGCUCGGCCCGCCCAACUUCCCCAGCCUGCGCGGCUUCGAGGUGAUCGACGCCGCCAAGGCGGUCCUCGAGAGGGUCUGCCCUAGAGUCGUCUCCUGCGCCGACAUCAUCGCCUUCGCCGCACGCGACGCCGCCUUCUUCCUCAGCAGCAGCCUGAUCGACUACAAGAUGCCGGCGGGGCGGUUCGACGGGCGCGUGUCGCUUGAAACUGAGGCGCUGCAGUUCCUGCCCCCGCCCUUCUUCAACCUCACGCAGCUCGUCGACAGCUUCAAGGCCAAGAACAUGGACGAGGACGACCUCGUGGUGCUCUCCGGCGCGCACACCAUCGGCGUGUCGCACUGCUCCUCCUUCACCGACCGCCUGCCACCGAACCCCUCCGACAUGAACCCGGGCCUCACCAGGCUGCUGCGGAGCAAGUGCCCCGUCAGCCCCAACUUCACCAACGACCCCACCGUGGUGCAGGACAUCGUCACCCCCAACCGGAUGGACAACAUGUACUACACCAACCUGCUCAAGCGGAACGUGCUCUUCAUCUCCGACGCGGCGUUGCUCACGUCGGGGAAGACGGCGACGAAGGUGAUGGAGAACGCGUUCAACCCCGGGAGCUGGGAGAAGAAGUUCGCCAAGGCGAUGGUCAAGAUGGCUGCCAUCGAGCUCAAGACCGCUGCCAACGGCGAGAUCAGGAGGAACUGUAGGAUCGUCAACAAAUAG
This 984-nucleotide ribosomal RNA is filed under the name Triticum aestivum (bread wheat). RNAcentral's name for it is "partial small subunit ribosomal RNA". The record is from RNAcentral. Lineage: Eukaryota; Viridiplantae; Streptophyta; Magnoliopsida; Poales; Poaceae.